GGAAAAGUCCUGGGGAGGAAGCUGCACUGGAGUAGACCUAGCACCUGUGUUAGGGUCCUGGUGUAAGGGGCUCAGGGAAGCAGAGCUGACUGAGGCUGGGAGGCUGCCAGGAGCUGGAGUGCCAGAGACCCCCCGGAGGGUGGCCUGAAGCCUGUCACCAAGGACUGAGAUCAGUCUCAGCUCACAGAAAUAUCUUUUUCUGAAAUCUUAGAGACCACUUCUCCCAGUAAAUUAUUCCCCUGCCCAUCAAGCUGACUGUAGCCUCUUUGUGCUGACUUCAACUGAGUGCGUCAGCGUCAUAGAUUCAGUAAUAUUGGAGUAAAGUCCAUAGAAAAUCCCCUUUAUAUAAUACAAGACAUAAUUCUUUGAAGAAUCAAGCCAAUAAACUUCUUGCUGCCGAAGGAAAGACACUUGACAGCUGACACUCCAUUCCCUUCUUUGCUGAGUUUGGGGAACACAGCUAUUAUAUUUAAGGUGAAAUUAUUAAUUUCCAGUCCAGUUUCCUUAUAUCAUCCAUGAAGACUGGCCUUAAGUUCUACUAAGAACCUACCAGAAACUGUUCUACCAAAUGAUGAUCAACCCACUAAAGGUUAAUAAGAAAUGUUAGAAGCUUGUUUUGAAGUGAAUUAUGUAAUCUAAACUGCUGUGGAGGCAUUGCCUAUCUGCUCAACAGUGUGUCAGUCCUGUUUCAUGAGGACACAGCUCAGCAUAAUGCUGUGUUAACAUGAAUACUGUCUUGUGGGUCACCAAGCACUAGAUUUCUACUAAGAAAAAAAAUAGUUGACGGCAAACACAGAGAGCUGAUAUGUUUUCAAGGAGGACUAGCCUGCUGCACUUGCGAGCGAUG
Molecule: long non-coding RNA, 847 nt
Organism: Mauremys reevesii (Reeves's turtle)
Lineage: Eukaryota; Metazoa; Chordata; Testudines; Geoemydidae
Exons: 6
Source: RefSeq, a predicted model, not a curated record